GUACCAUCCUGGAUCCUUCAGAACCAAAGACUUGCCCGCAGUGCUGUCUGCAGGAAAAGCAGCCCUUGAUUCUUAACACAGGCUUGAAUGAGCUACACCCGUUACGUUCCAAAGGUCAAAAUGGGGGAGGCACUUGCUGUCUAAGAGUCCAACAAAGAAAGAGGGAGCACUGUUCGCAGGAGCACCCUGCUAACAGAACAGCGAAGCAGCUGGGGUGGAGGCGCUGUCUCUCUCGUAGCUGGUCAGGGACGUUUCUUCCUUUCUCCUGAACUACGCGAUUCUAAUUGGAAUGUUCAUUUGCCUCUUUCUUCCUUUAAUGCUUGUAGGUGGCUUGGGGUGUGCUAUCGUGCUGUUCCUACUCAGUAAACAGGUGUGAUGAGUUAACAAGAAAUAUCACUGCUUGAGGACUAGCUUUGAAUAAUACUUUUCCCUUUGUACAUGACCUGCUGAAUUUCGGUACAGUGUUUUGUAGCUGACUUAUUUUGUCAUGCACAUGAUGUAUAUUUGUUAUGCACUACCUUUGUAUAUCUUGUUUUUCCAACAGUGAACAUUUUUAGGCACACUUUUCACUGACGGGAUAUCUCUUUAUGCAAUACCUCAAUUUUUCAUAUUGCAAAGAGUAGCUUUUUGUACUUUUAUUACUGAGAGAUCUUCAUAUACUUCAUUUUUUAAUAUAAAUAAUUUUAAUAAAUUUUAUUUUCUUAUAUUCUGCUUUUUAUACAUUUCAGUGCUCUGCAUACAUUUUAAAUUAUGAAUGUUGUGCACUGGCAAUGCUAUUUUAGAGUCUGCAGAGAAGAGAAAGCAUGUUGCUUAAACAUCCUUCCCCAGCACCAGCUACUGGUGUACCUAUAAUUUAAGAAAUAGUCUAUGUAAAGUCACAAAUUAAUGGAAAAAAUUCGCAUGAAAAUGACAAGAUAACACUGUAGUUCCUCAAAAAGAGAUUAACUGCAUAACCAUAGGAUAGAAAUUUAAAACCACAAAAUUGUCUACAGCUUCUUACUAAGUUUUUUAAAUUAUUCAUAAAAUGCAGACAUUUUGGGUGAAUGUUUAAUCAUUUUUAAUCUUAAUUAAUUGAUGUUACCUGUUUGAUUCAGAGAUGUCUGCUCUUUUAAAUUCUAUAUAAUAAAACGAGAUCGCCUGGCACAGGACAGGUGUGUAAUGUUAGUAUGCAUGACUAAUGUAAGAAAUUGUUAUUCUGCUAAUAUUUCCUUGUGAUUGUGUGACAAGCGUGUUUACAGAUGAUUGGUUCACUUCUUUACAGGGCAUAAACAAUGAUUAUCUAUUACUCUGAACUUUAUGAUUACAUGUCCUUCAGAUUACAUGGGAUUGUAGUUGGGAGUUACCAUGUAACUCAAACAUUAUUAACAUGUAAUUAGUUUACAGGUUUUAGGGUAUCACUUCAAUUUACCAAGCAUGUAGUUCUAGCGCACUAGCAUGGCACCAGCCAUGUAUUUACAAUGUAGUUACAGAGUAAUUACAUGGUUAUUUUUGCAAUGUAAAAUAAAGUGUUUCUGAUUAUUUUCUAUGUAAAGGACCCCCCACCCCAUCCCCAUCCCCUGGCUUUGGUAUAAUAUAUUUACUUCUCCAUACACAGACCUCUGCAGAAUGCAAAAUAAAACUUGCAGUGAAUGAACUUAGCAUUUUAUGAGAGUGCUGUUGGAAAGACUUGAUAAUUCACCCCUUUUGUUUUGAAGAGUCGAAUCUUCUGUUAAAAGGUGAUUUAAAACUUGAAUGUGAUGAAUUGUGGCGAGCUCACUCCAGUUAUGUGCAAUACUUAUCUCACACUUUGGAAGAUCUUUGCAGUGUAAUUCUUUGUUUUUAAUUGCAGACAUUAAAAAAUGUCAUUUUCUACUGUUAAGAGUAAUCCUCUUUCUUGCUGGUGUUUCUAAAGAAAAGAAUCAGAAAUCAAUCUUUCUACUAAUGUAAAUUUGAGAUUAUUUUUAAAAAUGGAAUAAAAGAGGUUUUGGUCAUUUGCUUUAUUUUAUUAUCUUAUUUUAAAGCUACUGUGAUUGAUAGCAUUGUAAGAAUUGGGACAAUAUUGUAUUCAACUGUUUUAUUUUUUAUAUUUUUAAAAUUUAAAGUAUAAUUAGUUUUUAUAAUUUCAUCAGAUUUUUGUUAUAUUUUUUGGAAGUGAAACUUUUAGCAAGUGGGUGUCUGGUUUUUACUGCUCCCUAAUUUCCCAGUGUAUUGCUCACACUAUCAGAAGGCAGCGUUAUUUAAGUGUGUCAGUUAAUUGUACUACUUGGCUGAAUUUCCAUAUAGUUUUUACUGUGUAUGGGGAGGUUGUAGUAUUUAUUCUAGCAUUUUAAAUAAGGGUAAUUCAUUUUUUUAUUAAAGUCAUUUUCACCUUAAGUUCCUAUUUUUGUAUGUUCUACUCUUAAGUUAUAUAACACAGUUCCUUUUUUAAAAGAGUUCAUUUGUUGAAGUGCUAGUGGAAAAUUAAUGUUAUUAAAUAGUUUGCAAAUGACUAUUUAUACCAGUAUGCAUAUAAUUUUUAAAUAUUUGUAAUGUGAGAUGUUGAAUGAAUAAAACUUUUAACUCAGA
Molecule: long non-coding RNA, 2544 nt
Filed under: Rattus norvegicus (Norway rat)
Lineage: Eukaryota; Metazoa; Chordata; Mammalia; Rodentia; Muridae
Description: long non-coding RNA NONRATT005321
Source: RNAcentral